UGGCGGACGGGUGAGUAACGCGUGGAUAACCUGCCGUGUACAGGGGGAUAACACUUAGAAAUAGGUGCUAAUACCGCAUAAGCGCACAACUUCGCAUGAAGGAGUGUGAAAAGCCGAGACGGUACACGAUGGAUCCGCGUCCGAUUAGCCAGUUGGCGGGGUAGAGGCCCACCAAAGCGACGAUCGGUAGCCGGCCUGAGAGGGUGACCGGCCACAUUGGGACUGAGACACGGCCCAAACUCCUACGGGAGGCAGCAG
This 258-nucleotide ribosomal RNA is filed under the name uncultured bacterium. RNAcentral's name for it is "partial 16S ribosomal RNA". It matches the Rfam family "Bacterial small subunit ribosomal RNA", at positions 96 to 354 of the family's 1533-position model. The record is from RNAcentral.